This 67-nucleotide microRNA precursor is filed under the name Bombyx mori (domestic silkworm). RNAcentral's name for it is "mir-2774 microRNA precursor family". It matches the Rfam family "mir-2774 microRNA precursor family". Lineage: Eukaryota; Metazoa; Arthropoda; Insecta; Lepidoptera; Bombycidae. The record is from Rfam by way of RNAcentral.
ACAACAUUUGGACUGUUAGUCUACUGAGCAAUUUUAUCUGGUCAGUGGAAGAUCUUCCCUUUGAUGU